Molecule: ribosomal RNA, 406 nt
Filed under: uncultured bacterium
Lineage: Bacteria
Description: partial 16S ribosomal RNA
Rfam family: Bacterial small subunit ribosomal RNA
Source: RNAcentral
AUUGAACGCUGGCGGCAGGCCUAACACAUUCAAGUCGAACGAGUGGCGGACGGGUGAGUAAUGUCUGGGAAACUGCCUGAUGGAGGGGGAUAACUACUUGAAACGGUAGCUAAUACCGCAUACCCUCGGAUGUGCCCAGAUGGGAUUAGCUAGUAGGUGGGGUAAAGGCUCACCUAGGCGACGAUCUCUAGCUGGUCGGAGAGGAUGACCAUCCACGCUGGAACUGAGACACUGUCCAGAUGCCUACGGGAGGCAGCAUUGGGGAAUAUUGCACAAUGGGAGCAAUCCUGAUGCAGCCAUGCCGCGUGUAUGAAGAAGGCCUUCGGGUUGUAAAGUACUUUCAGCUGGGAGGCGUUACCCGCAGAAGAAGCACCGGCUAACUCCGUGCCAGCAGCCGCGGUAAUAC